This 234-nucleotide long non-coding RNA is filed under the name Amborella trichopoda. Its description in RNAcentral is "long non-coding RNA (ATRI_LNC001679)". The record is from RNAcentral. Lineage: Eukaryota; Viridiplantae; Streptophyta; Magnoliopsida; Amborellales; Amborellaceae.
ACCGAUCCAAUCCAGAGUAGGGUGAUCCAGAUCGGGUAUCGGUAAAACCAAACAGCUCCAAUUUUUUUUUUUUUUGAAAUCCAAGUUUUUUUUUGCACACUUGGCUUGGCUUUUUUGGCGUCGUUACACGUGGUUGACAUUUUCUUACAUGUCUAUUGUCUUUUAAGACUAGGUGGCCUUGCCAUAUAAUAGCUUUGCACUAUGCCCUUGAUACCUUAAGUUGCACACCUUGUG